AAACUUUGUACUGAUUAAAUAUUAGCUUAGGUUAAACUUAUAGCAUGGUAAUUUUUGUGUAAAAAAUUGUUUAUAAUAACUAAUUUUUUAUAACCCAGCAAGAUACAUUAAACUAUACUAGAAAUAGUAAUUUAAUUUAGCCUAUUAUAGCUGGACUAACUAGGUGCCAGCAGUCGCGGUCAUACCUAGCAGCUAAGUUAAUUAUAUUAGGAAGGCUUAAGAAAACAAGUUUUAUAAUCAGGUGAAAUUGUUAUAAAAAAUAAUUUUAAUUUUCUAAUUAAUCGCCCAAGCUCUGACGAUAAACUAGGAUUAGAUACCCUACUAUAUAGAGUGUAAAUCGUAAUCCUAAGCACUAAGACUAAAAAGUUAAAACUUAAAUUACAUGGCGGCAGUUAGAAACUUCAGGGGAACUUGCCAGGUAAAUGAUAACCCUCAAAAUACGCUACUAUUAUUUCGGAGUUUGUAUAUCGCCGUCUUCAGCAUUCAUUUAAGAUGAGUUCGAAAUGUUUAAACAAAAAGACAGGUUAAGAUGCAGCUUAUAUAAUAGUCUAGGUGAGUUACAAUAAAAACUAAUUUUGGUAUUAUUUUGAAAUGAAAUAAGAAAAUUGGACUUGAAAGUAACAGUUAUAAUAAUUAAUAAGUGAAUUACUAAUCUAACUGUGUACAAAUCGCCCGUCGCUUUCAUUGAAAAAUGAAAUAAGUCGUAACACAGUAGGUGUACCGGAAGGUGCACCU
RNAcentral lists this non-coding RNA (735 nucleotides) under Polycera hedgpethi. The record is from RNAcentral. Lineage: Eukaryota; Metazoa; Mollusca; Gastropoda; Nudibranchia; Polyceridae.